Molecule: long non-coding RNA, 1743 nt
Organism: Lolium rigidum
Lineage: Eukaryota; Viridiplantae; Streptophyta; Magnoliopsida; Poales; Poaceae
Exons: 4
Source: RefSeq, a predicted model, not a curated record
UCCUUCCCUUCCCCAAACCUAGCCGCCUCAAUCCGCUCCCCUAGCGUGCCUCUCAGCCAUCGGCGAGCAGGCCCUUCCUUGCCGGCGACCAGUGGCGGCCGGUGAUGCAGCCCACAUGAUACAUCCCACUACUCGCCUCCUAUUAUGAGAUACCCUAAAUCUGAGAAAUUCUUUUGCAGCUAAGAUGUAUUUGGGCUACUACGUGAUGCGGAUGUUUGUCGAAAAGCCGCGUCGGCGAGUCAGAGCACGGCGGCGCGGAAGCGGAAGGGCGCGAAAUUCCGUGUAUCCUUGACUAGUGCGAUGUCACUGGAGGUUGAUGCAGCAGCGCAGACGGCACGAUCUGGCGUAUCAAGAAGCCUGAAAUAGAGCUGCAUCAGUAAUAGCAACCUGCAGCAGGACGACCUGCAGAAGAUAAAAACGCAAAUGGGUGCUGAAGUACUUGUAUCUGUUCCAAGGGUACUCGAGAAGAUCUGUCAAAUGUAUGUGCGUUUUUCUGUUUUACAACUUAUUAUUACUCCUUUCUCGUAUCUCUGACACAUAUUAAUAUCCUUCAAUUGGUAUCCUUAUUGUGUCUCUUUUGGUGUGUGCUAGAUCUUCAUGCCUUUGGUCAAUUACAGACAGUUUAUUUUCUAUUUUAUGGCCUCCAAUAGUGCACCAACUAUCACUUUUCCUUGGCAGAGAAUCUGACAUAGCAAAAGAGCGAAUUCAGAAGCUCUCAAGGCUGCUGCUAACAUUGUAUAUACCACCAACGGAAUUGAUGAUAUCUCACUGAAUGUGUUUUUUCAUUAUUCAUGCAGAAGUUCAUUGUCCUACUUUAAAUUUGACUUCGGAUAUAGUUUGGCAUCCUUCCAGUAUAGACUAUUUAUGUAUUUCCUUUAACUAGUCCAUGCUAUUAUUGAUAUAUUUUAUUUAUCUGCUGCUAGUUUUCGUCGGUGGCACAUACAAAAUCUGCCGAAUAAUACUGACAUAAAUGACUCUAACUAGAACUUAUAGUAAUUCCUCCCUCAUUACUUUUACAACUUCAACUUGCUAAAAGCUAGGACUACCAUCACGCUUGUGACUAGAUUUAGAUUCACUUUUUUUUUGCAUCACGUGGUAUAUGCUUGCUUGCAGUUUUGGAAUCUUACCAUGGGAACCAAUGCGAGUUUGAAGUGACAUGGGUCCAUGUUAGUAGUAGUUUCUAAGUUUUCAUUUUAUGUUUUUCAUGUUUUUUAACUGCACAUGUAUCUGCGCCUUAAAAGAAUUUAGAGUUUAAAUGUCUGGCCCUGCAAACCUCAGUUUCUGGUGUGAACUUCUACUUAUGCAUGUUGGAAAAAUUGUAGCUUUCUGAUAAUUUUAUUGACCAUUCCAUCGAUUAGUUAAUUAAGAACUUUGAUAUGCUGUCGGCUGGAUGAUCUAGCUUGAUAAUUAAAUGAUUGUGAUCAUCUAUUUUAUGGAUUGCUCAGAUCCCAUCUUGGUUAUUUCUUAUAUAGAUUUUCUUUUUCAUUUCCAUCUGUGUGGUAGCCACAAUGACGUGUGGUCUGAUGAGCUGAUUUAAAUGCAGUGGAUCGCAAACAUGUCUUAUGCUGAACUAGUUUUGGCAUGCCACCAAGGUUCCAUACAUCAGAAGACUUGCUCAGUCGGAUAUCAGAAUUUGUUGGCAAAUUAGUAGAACCGAUGUAUAUAGGUCUAGGUAGACUAUCAAAUUGUGCUGCAAAAUUGUAAACUUUCUCCUUUUCAGAUAAUUUUCAUGUAUGGAUGGUG